UUCCCGUAGGGGUGCCUGCGGAGGGAUCAUUACUGAGUUACCGCUCUAUAACCCUUUGUGAACAUACCUACAACUGUUGCUUCGGCGGGUAGGCCGUCCCCUGAAAAGGACGCCUCCCGGCCCGGACCGGACCCCCCGCGGGACCGGACCCGGCGCCCGCCGGAGGAUAACCAAACUCUAUUGUAACGACGUUUCUUCUGAGUGGCAUAAGCAAAAUGAUCAAAACUUUUAACAACGGAUCUCUUGGUUCUGGCAUCGAUGAAGAACGCAGCGAAAUGCGAUAAGUAAUGUGAAUUGCAGAAUUCAGUGAAUCAUCGAAUCUUUGAACGCACAUUGCGCCCGCCAGCAUUCUGGCGGGCAUGCCUGUUCGAGCGUCAUUUCAACCCUCAAGCUCUGCUUGGUGUUGGGGCUCUACGGUCGACGUAGGCCCUCAAAGGUAGUGGCGGACCCUCCCGGAGCCUCCUUUGCGUAGUAACAUUUCGUCUCGCACUGGGAUCCGGAGGGACUCUUGCCGUAAAACCCCCCAAUUUUCCAAAGGUUGACCUCGGAUCAGGUACGAAGGCCCCCAG
This 569-nucleotide ribosomal RNA is filed under the name Colletotrichum sp. EF18. Its description in RNAcentral is "eukaryotic LSU rRNA". The stretch from base 224 to 377 matches the Rfam family "5.8S ribosomal RNA". Lineage: Eukaryota; Fungi; Ascomycota; Sordariomycetes; Glomerellales; Glomerellaceae. The record is from RNAcentral.